UGAUAAGUUACUCAUGCAUUUAAAGUCAGGACAUGGUGUGUGUGUCUGCCUCUCUCCCCCUAGAGAUGCACACACUCCGUGGUACUGAAUCAACAUUUUCAGUCCUAGGGAAAGGCUGCUACGGAGGCAGGGUUGGCUGGCCCCGUGGGGGCUGACAGGGGACCUCCAGAGCUACAAUAUCCCAUGUGGAUGGAGGUAAAUAGGCAAAAUUUCGUUAAUGUUGCCUGGCAAAACUCAGAGCAGCUGCUGGUGGAGAUGGCAGGGGUGGAUCACACCUCACCAGGAGGCUGCUGGAGUCAAAAGGCCUCAUCUCGAUGUUGUCUGUCACAGGGCUUGGCUUUCACAUCCUGAGGUGCCACAUCUCAUGCUCGGUGAGAUGUAUUCUCCAGGCCCUAAAGCAACACUGGCGAGAAGGUGGAGGAACUGCCAGAAGUCCCACAGUAGUUGAAGCACAAAUACAGUGAAAUAAGAGUGUCAGUUCUCCUGUGCUGGAGGAUGAAAAGCAGGCUGGAAAGAAGUCCCUCUCCUGAGGGGAAGGAGUUUACCUCUGCACCUUGUGGAGAACAAGGCAGCACCACGGAACUCCUUGGAAAAUAAAGCAUUGACCAGUCUGUUAUAGUGAAGCAUGGAUGGCCACAACAACCAUGAAGGUUCAGGGGCCUAAGAGUUAGUCUGAGGAUCAAGGGACUCGGAGCUGGGCUUGUUGUUUUGACAGGAGAAAAACCUGUGAAGUUCCUAAAAGCUGAAUUUGGAAACCAAUGGUGGUUUGGUGGUGGGUUUUGAUCAGCUGCACUCUGUGGCUUCUUUUGAUGCUGGAGAUUAAUUUGGUCUUUUCUGGCUUUUGGAGUUCAGAUCACACUUCUGUCUUUUCCUUUUACCCCAUUUUAUAGGGAAAGGAUUUUAAGCAGCUGCAACGUGAGGGGUGGAACUCACUGCCACGGUCCUUCACUGAGAGAGGCCUUGGAGAGCGGCCUCCCCAUUGUCUAGGUACCAUAGCAGAAAAAUUCCAGGACCUCAGCCGAGGGUUCGAAGACAUGCAAUCCCAUUACAUGUCCCAUGAAUACAAGUCACCCCAGCCGGUGCUACCAUAGGCAAGAGGAACUUCUCUCCUUUGCCUCCUGGCAAGGCACAGGAAUGCACGCAGAGGUGACUACGGCCCCUGGAAAACCUCUCACUGGUGUGGGACCAGGUCCAUACACAGUAGGAACCACUCUGUGCCCUAGUGCACACGCAGGUGUUUCAGCUCCAGUAAGGAGAAGAUGGAUGCAGGGAACAAGAGGGUGGAUGGACUGGUACCCAAAGCCUUUCUGUGCUCAGCCAAGGCAGGAGCUGCCAUCACCAACGAGCUGCUGCAGGAGCUCUCCCACUUCCAGAUGUCACUCUUGGCCAGCAGAGACCAGCUCCUCUGGGGACAUCCAGGGCCCCGUGGGCAUGUCCCUGUGUAAGGCCCUGAUGCAUCACUUCCCCAGGAACAUUCUG
Molecule: long non-coding RNA, 1479 nt
Organism: Anas platyrhynchos (mallard)
Lineage: Eukaryota; Metazoa; Chordata; Aves; Anseriformes; Anatidae
Source: RefSeq, a predicted model, not a curated record